This 651-nucleotide long non-coding RNA is filed under the name Vulpes vulpes (red fox). Its description in RNAcentral is "lncRNA (ENSVVUG00000021581.1)". The record is from RNAcentral. Lineage: Eukaryota; Metazoa; Chordata; Mammalia; Carnivora; Canidae.
UUUGAGCACUCAGACAAGGAAGACGGUUGACUUUUAACGUUUUUCUCUCUCACUUGGAUUUACCUAGAAACCUUUUUAGCUUUCAGGAUGUCUAAACAUUGUUCACUAAGGACUGAAGGAAGGAGAACCACUGGCCUAACACCAAUUUUCCAUUGUAACGGUAGAGCUCUGUUACCAAGAAAAAUGCACGGGGCAGAUGACUUGUACCAGACUGGCCAGAUGAGGACCUGGGAGGCCAGGAAAGCUUCUCAGGAAGGGACACAGCAGGCAGGCCAAGCUCUCAAGAAGACUCUUGCUCUCAAACCACACAUCAGCUCUGCCCCUGAGGGCCCUGACCCAGUGGGAGAGGAAAUGACCCAUGGCUGCUCCCCCCUCGGCUCCUCCACCCUUGGGUGACCCUAUCAACGGCAGCCACGAAUGAAUUACUUCAGCCCCCCAACCAUCUUCAGCUCCUGUAUCUUGAUCAAACUUGAACCCACUCUCAGCCCCCUGGAGAAGCCUCAUAUACUUCAGAUCCUCAGGAUACCCUCCAGCCUCUGGACACAGGCCCUGCAGGGUGAGCAAGCCACUGCUAUCCAGAAUGCCAGGACAACAUUGCUCUCUCCCCCCACCCAGGUGUCCUGCUGAAAUUUGCACCCACCUUAGUAAGAG